RNAcentral lists this ribosomal RNA (494 nucleotides) under uncultured bacterium. RNAcentral describes it as "partial 16S ribosomal RNA". It matches the Rfam family "Bacterial small subunit ribosomal RNA", at positions 28 to 506 of the family's 1533-position model. The record is from RNAcentral.
GACGAACGCUGGCGGCGUGCCUAAUACAUGCGAGUAGAACGCUGAAGGAGGAGCUUGCUUCUCUGGAUGAGUUGCGAACGGGUGAGUAACGCGUAGGUAACCUGCCUGGUAGCGGGGGAUAACUAUUGGAAACGAUAGCUAAUACCGCAUAAUAGUAGAUGUUGCAUGACAUUUGCUUAAAAGGUGCAAUUGCAUCACUACCAGAUGGACCUGCGUUGUAUUAGCUAGUUGGUGAGGUAACGGCUCACCAAGGCGACGAUACAUAGCCGACCUGAGAGGGUGAUCGGCCACACGGGGACUGAGACACGGCCCAGACUCCUACGGGAGGCAGCAGUAGGGAAUCUUCGGCAAUGGACGGAAGUCUGACCGAGCAACGCCGCGUGAGUGAAGAAGGUUUUCGGAUCGUAAAGCUCUGUUGUAAGAGAAGAACGAGUGUGAGAGUGGAAAGGUCACACUGUGACGGUAUCUUACCAGAAAGGGACGGCUAACUACGU